UGUCAGGUUUCGACAAGUGUUUCAGCUGUGU
RNAcentral lists this non-coding RNA (31 nucleotides) under Mus musculus (house mouse). The record is from RNAcentral. Lineage: Eukaryota; Metazoa; Chordata; Mammalia; Rodentia; Muridae.